AGCAUGGUCUUAGCUUGCUAAGGCCGAUGGCGACCGGCGCACGGGUGAGUAACACGUAUCCAACCUGCCGUCUACUCUUGGACAGCCUUCUGAAAGGAAGAUUAAUACAAGAUGGCAUCAUGAGUUCACAUGUUCACAUGAUUAAAGGUAUUCCGGUAGACGAUGGGGAUGCGUUCCAUUAGAUAGUAGGCGGGGUAACGGCCCACCUAGUCUUCGAUGGAUAGGGGUUCUGAGAGGAAGGUCCCCCACAUUGGAACUGAGACACGGUCCAAACUCCUACGGGAGGCAGCAGUGAGGAAUAUUGGUCAAUGGGCGAGAGCCUGAACCAGCCAAGUAGCGUGAAGGAUGACUGCCCUAUGGGUUGUAAACUUCUUUUAUAAAGGAAUAAAGUCGGGUAUGGAUACCCGUUUGCAUGUACUUUAUGAAUAAGGAUCGGCUAACUCCGUGCCAGCAGCCGCGGUAAUACGGAGGAUCCGAGCGUUAUCCGGAUUUAUUGGGCGUAAAGAGCGCGCAGGUGGUUGAUUAAGUCUGAUGUGAAAGCCCACGGCUUAACCGUGGAGGGUCAUUGGAAACUGGUCAACUUGAGUGCAGAAGAGGGAAGUGGAAUUCCAUGUGUAGCGGUGAAAUGCGUAGAGAUAUGGAGGAAC
This 647-nucleotide ribosomal RNA is filed under the name uncultured Bacteroidales bacterium. RNAcentral's name for it is "bacterial SSU rRNA". It matches the Rfam family "Bacterial small subunit ribosomal RNA", at positions 68 to 707 of the family's 1533-position model. Lineage: Bacteria; Pseudomonadati; Bacteroidota; Bacteroidia; Bacteroidales. The record is from RNAcentral.